Molecule: ribosomal RNA, 744 nt
Filed under: Triticum aestivum (bread wheat)
Lineage: Eukaryota; Viridiplantae; Streptophyta; Magnoliopsida; Poales; Poaceae
Description: partial small subunit ribosomal RNA
Source: RNAcentral
AUGGAGCCGGACAGGAAAGAAUGGAAUGAAACUCUCAUCACACAGAUUUUCCAUCCCUUCGAUGCUGAUGAAAUCUGCAAACUUAGCAUCCCGUCGUCAGAGGUUGGUAACUGUAUUGCUUGGCACUAUGAGAAGAAUGGCAUUUUCUCAGUCAAGAGCCCGUACAAUCUCGCUGCUGCUUACCAGGAUCAGUUGUCUCAUAGCCCAUCAUGUUCCACUAGAGACCCAAAUGACUGUAGCAUAUGGGAUCUCAUAUGGAAAGCAAAAGUCCCUGGGAAAGUCCGCAUCUUUGCGUGGAGGAUUGCCACUAAUACACUUGCCACAAAGAAAAACAAGUGGAAGAGGACCCUAGAAGUUGAUGCCACAUGCAGUAUAUGUGGUAACGGAGUGGAAGACGAGCACCAUGCGGUUAUAGUGUGUAUGAAGAGCAGAGCCUUACGUGUUGCUAUGAGAGAAAUCUGGAGUCUACCAGCCGAAGGCAAGCUUCGCUAUAUGGGCGAGGACUGGCUGCAAGUCGCUCUGGACACUGAAUGCGAGGAGGUGCACGCCAAAUUGCUGCUGCUACGCUGGCAUUGCUGGCAUCACAGAGAGGACUACGUGCGCAAGGAUGGGAACAAACCAAUCAGAAACUCUGUUCUUUUCCUAAAGCAAUAUGAGGAGGACCUUAGGGAUGUGGACCGAAUAGUUGACACCCCAAAAGGACUCAUGAAUGCUAUGAUUCGGGCAGGAAACCAUCUGAGAUAA